This is a long non-coding RNA of Jaculus jaculus (lesser Egyptian jerboa), 1601 nucleotides long. RefSeq lists it as uncharacterized. Lineage: Eukaryota; Metazoa; Chordata; Mammalia; Rodentia; Dipodidae. The transcript is spliced from 4 exons. The record is from RefSeq and is a predicted model, not a curated record.
AGGACGGCCACCCGGUAGAAGGACACCGCCGUGAGGCCGCUGGACAGGAGGGCCAGCAGCAGGGUCGCUGUCAGCAGCAGCUGCCCUUCUCUGGAGACUCGGACCCAGGGGCUUUCCUUCUGCUGGGGGAUGGGAGCACACCCCACUUUCAUGUCUUCUCCUUUCUUAAGGCAGGGGAAAAAGAGCGGCUGCUGGCUGCCUGCGGACUCGCCCGCUCCACGAUGGACACUUGGAAAGUUGGGGCCUUGGGGGUGGAAGCCUUAUUUCUUAGUAUGCAAGCAACCUCUUUUGGACCUGGCAUCAAACAAUACAGUUCUCCUGUCACCUCACUCCAGGUUCGCUGGGAUAAAGUGUUCUGAAUGACUUUGCAAUGACAAAUGGAGCUAAUUUGGGGGAUUCUAUCAAGCCUUCACAUGGCAAGUUAUUAAGACUCACUCCUGUAAUUCCAGCACACAGAAAGCUGAGGCAGGAGAAUCAUAAGUUUAAAGCCAGCCUGGACUCCAUAGUUAGAUCCUGUCUCAAAAAAGCAUGGGGAUGGGGGGCUGAAGUCUAAGGACACAGAUUUGAUUCCACAGUGCCCACAUAAGCCAGAUGCACAAAGUGGUAUAUUCUUCAGUACUGACUUUCCAGAGGAUAUCGUCUUUCUGGCUUAGAGAUGACCUCUGCCUUCCUUGGCCUGUUGAGCCGAGUAUCAUGGCUGACAUUCUCAGGACACAGCUGUGACUGCUAAGCUCAGGACGUUAUUAACAAAUUCCCAACAUGGUUCUUUCAGCAGAUGCCACUGUGCAGAAACAGCUGCUGCCCAUCGUAAAGGCCCAUCAAUGCCACUGGUGGUGAUUACAAAUGUGUGUGGCCAUGCUGCUCUUUUUCCUGGGUCCGGAGAAGUAGGACACGGCAGUCUGCAGCCUAUGAGGCCCUCGUGCUUAACACAAGUGCUGUUAACUGCUGAGUCAUCUCCAUCGCAAUCAAACUGAUGCCCACCCAGUGUUAUCCCUCCACGGAAUCCAGGACAAACCUACUCUUGCUGAUCCAUCCACCCCACCAUCAAUAGCUCAGCUGGAUCCAGGAGAAACUCUGAACCAUACGCAGGUGCUCUCCUGGGGACUCCUUGGUUUUGAAGAAGAAACACAAGAAAGAAGCACUCCUCGUUUGAUGGUUCUCUGUAGAUGCAGAGCCCGUCCCUCUGCUACUGGGGUUACCAGGAGAAGUGCUGAAGGGCUGGAGGGCAGGGUCUGAGGGACUCCGCUCUUUAAGGACACUUGGGCUGCUUGGUUCAUGAACUCAUCAUGGUCCCUGUUUGGCUCAUGAGUUUUUCUUGUUGUUUCAACCACAGUGAAAGAAGACCAGAUGCUAAGGAGCCAAUGACUCGAUUUUAAUGAACUGAUGACUAGACGUUAAUGAACUGAUGAUUCAAAUUCUGCUGGUUUGACUAUUGUGUUUCAUGCUUAUUUUUUCAAAGAAGCAAUUCUGAUUGAUUUAAUAUGUUGUUCUUUUAGUCUUAAUCUUAUUGAUUCCUGCCCUAAUCCUUAUUAUGUCUCCCUUUCCACUCUUCCUGUGUUUUCCUAGGACACCGAUAAACAUCCCUAGGUUAUUCAUAUGAA